Molecule: microRNA, 23 nt
Filed under: Ananas comosus (pineapple)
Lineage: Eukaryota; Viridiplantae; Streptophyta; Magnoliopsida; Poales; Bromeliaceae
Description: microRNA s0678_c89a
Source: RNAcentral
CUCUAUUACCCGUAUGAAGAGAC